ACAAGUGCUCUACCACUGAGCUACAUCCCCAACCCUGUCUCUGGGAUCUUAUAUAGAGAGUGGGAAGGGGAAGGAAGGCACAUCAGACAUUCUGUCUUACACCACUUUAUGAAGUCAAAGCCAGAAGAAAAUAGCAUACUGUUCCUGCAGGCUGCUCCUUCGUAUGACUCUAGAAAGAAGAGGACCAGGCCAUAUUUCUGUCUGUAUGGGAAGCAGUCUCUCAUGCUGGAAGCUUGC
Non-coding RNA from Urocitellus parryii (Arctic ground squirrel), 237 nucleotides. The record is from RefSeq and is a predicted model, not a curated record. Lineage: Eukaryota; Metazoa; Chordata; Mammalia; Rodentia; Sciuridae.